CCGUGAGGGAAAGUUGAAAUAGAACUUUGCAGAGAGAGUUAACAGGGCGUGAAACCGUUAAUUGGCAAACGAAUCGGAGCCACGAAGUCGUUUCGUCGAUAGUUUGGCUGAGUUCAGUGUUUAUGAGGUUGCACAAAUUUCGUAAGCGCGUACUCUCAAGUUGAACCAUCUUUGUAAGCGUACACUGCAACCAGUUAGACGAUUACCGAUGGGCCCAGUAGGCUCGGUGUAGCGCAAGCUAUGCCCUGUUUACGAAGCAUUUGUUUAUUGCGGGAGGUAGUAAGCUGGCUCUGUGAAUGCAGGUGUCCGGUUUGCUGGCUCGUAGUAAGUGAGCUAUUGGUAAAUACUGACUGGCAAAAUGAAAAUCACAUUCGUUUAACGUGUGUUGUAUAGACAAAGCGCUGGCGGCGCGUGCUGUUACGCAGUUGGCGCGUAAGUUUUUAAAGUUCAGUGCUUUUGAAUUUAGACUUGCAUGCUAUCAACGGGGCAACUCUUGGUGCAUGUAUAGCUUCUAUCUAAUCGGGUAUUGACUUGGCUUGCGUGAAAGUCAGCUGUGAAUCGUUUGGCGGCAUGCGUCAGUUAGUUGCAAUUUGAAUUGGCAGUGAGUAGGUCGGCUUUCCGAAC
This 624-nucleotide ribosomal RNA is filed under the name Floracarus perrepae. RNAcentral's name for it is "eukaryotic LSU rRNA". The record is from RNAcentral. Lineage: Eukaryota; Metazoa; Arthropoda; Arachnida; Trombidiformes; Eriophyidae.